CCUACGGGGGGCUGCAGUGGGGAAUAUUGGGCAAUGGGCGCAAGCCUGACCCAGCAAUGCCGCGUGGGUGAAGAAGGUCUUCGGAUUGUAAAGCCCUUUCGGCGGGGACGAUGAUGACGGUACCCGCAGAAGAAGCCCCGGCUAACUUCGUGCCAGCAGCCGCGGUAAUACGAAGGGGGCUAGCGUUGCUCGGAAUUACUGGGCGUAAAGGGCGCGUAGGCGGCGCCAGUAGUCAGGCGUGAAAUUCCUGGGCUCACCCUGGGGGCUGCGCUGGAUACGCUGGUGCUAGAGGACGGAAGAGGCUCGCGGAAUUCCCAGUGUAGAGGUGAAAUUCGUAGAUAUUGGGAAGAACACCGGUGGCGAAGGCGGCGAGCUGGUCCGUUACUGACGCUGAGGCGCGACAGCGUGGGGAGCAAACAGGAUUAGAUACCCGUGUAGUC
Molecule: ribosomal RNA, 440 nt
Filed under: uncultured Acetobacteraceae bacterium
Lineage: Bacteria; Pseudomonadati; Pseudomonadota; Alphaproteobacteria; Acetobacterales; Acetobacteraceae
Description: bacterial SSU rRNA
Rfam family: Bacterial small subunit ribosomal RNA
Source: RNAcentral